Molecule: non-coding RNA, 2455 nt
Organism: Arachis ipaensis
Lineage: Eukaryota; Viridiplantae; Streptophyta; Magnoliopsida; Fabales; Fabaceae
Source: RefSeq, a predicted model, not a curated record
AAUUAAGAGGAUUAGGGCUCAAACUUCAAACAGACGGCCUCUGCCCUCAGAAGUUCCGACUCAGGCUCACCCUCACUCCAGCGGCGCCGGCGACAUUCAUUCGCAGCACAGGCAGCACCGGCCACUGGCGUCCCUAGCUCUCUCUCCCUCACGUCUCGAACGCACCGGAAUAAGAUAUCAUCCCUCCCUCUCUCAUAGCUCUCUCUCCCUCUCUCUCUCUCGUAGCACAGCCCAGAGCAAAGAGAGCACCGGCGGCGACGACUCGGCUCUCUCCCUCCCACCGGAGUACCUGGCUCUCUCUCCCUCACAGCUGCGAAGGUGCUCUCUCUCUCUCUCCCCCUCUCUCAGCUCUGCGGCGGACGGCGGUGAACGACGUCCUCUUCGUUCUUUAUUUGGCUGUUAAUUAUCCUCAGACUUGGAUUGGGUUCGUGCACACACAAAACCCUUAGCAGCUCAAACCCGCGGGUUCGGGAACUGCGAUUUACUCCCUCCGGCCACCGACGUUCACAGAUAUACCUUCUGCUCAGUAAGAGAGCUUGAUUUAGGUAACAUUUACCAAAGUCAUAUUGGACCGUCUCUCUGCAGGUUUGCCCUGCAACCCUGGGUUUCAUAACGUGGCACUGGCAUUUCCAUUGGGAAUGAUGAAUAAUCCAAUAUUUAGGCCUUUGAUACCAUUAUGUCACACUACUUGUUCCUUGACCCCAGCUUAUCGUCUCUUUUCGCAAUACAAUCUCUUUUUUUCUCAGCCUACCUUUCUAUCCAAUGCGCUGCAGAAUUAUAUCAAUUCUGAUAACCCUUACCAUGGCCAAAAGAUCCAUUCCCAGAUUCUGAAAUCUGGCUUUGUUCCAAACACUAACAUCUCCAUAAAGUUACUGAUAUUGUAUCUUAAAUGCAAUUGUUUAAGAUAUGCACGCCAGAUGUUUGAUGGUUUACAUGAUAAAACUUUAACUGCAUAUAACUAUAUGAUCAGUGGCUAUCUCAAACAAGGGCAAGUAGAAGAGUCACUUGGCUUGGUGCAUAGGCUUUUAGUGUCUGGUGAAAGGCUUGAUGGUUUUACUUUUUCAAUGGUGUUAAAGGCAUCUACUUUGGGUUGUGGUGUUCCUAUGAUUAGUGAUCUAGGCAGAAUGGUACAUGCCCAUAUAAUCAAAUCUGAUGCUGAGAAAGAUGAAGUUCUUUAUACAUCACUAAUUGAUUCUUAUGUUAAGAAUGGGAGAGUUGCUUUUGCUAGGACUGUGUUCGAUGUGAUGUCUGAGAAGAAUGUGAUAUGUUCUACGUCCCUCAUCUCUGGUUACAUGGAUCAAGGCUCCACCAAGGAUGCAGAAUGUAUAUUUCGCAGGACAUUGAACAAGGAUGUAGUGGUGUUUAAUGCAAUGAUUGAAGGCUACAGUCGAACAGCUGAAUUUGCCAUGAAAUCUCUUGAUGUUUACAUUGACAUGCAGAGAAUGAACUUCAGGCCAAAUAUGUCUACAUUUGCUAGCAUAAUUGGUGCUUGCUCAAUGCUUGCAUCAUUUGAAAUUGGUCAACAAGUACAAAGUCAGCUGAUGAAGACUCCAUUUUUUAUGAACAUUAAAUUAGGAAGUGCUCUUAUAGACAUGUAUUGCAAAUGUGGAAGAAUUGUAGAUGCCCGAAGAGUUUUUGACCACAUGCUUGAGAGGAAUGUAUUUACAUGGACAUCCAUGAUUGAUGGAUAUGGUAAGAAUGGGUUUCCUGAUGAAGCACUUGAGCUGUUCGAAACGAUGCAGAAGGAUGACUUUAUUGUACCCAAUUUUGUAACAUUCCUCAGUGCUCUCUCAGCUUGUGCACAUGCUGGGCUUGUAGAAAAGGGUUGGGAGAUCUUUGAGAGAAUGAACAAUGAGUACAUGGUAAAACCAGGGAUGGAGCACUAUGCUUGCAUGGUUGAUAUGUUAGGACGUGCAGGGAGGCUGAAUCAGGCAUGGGAAUUUGUCAUGAGGAUGCCUGAGAAGCCCAAUUCUGAUGUGUGGGCUGCUCUACUUAGUUCAUGCAGACUCCAUGGUAAUGUAGAGAUGGCAAAAUUAGCUGCAGAUGAGCUUUUUAAGCUAAAUUCUGAUGGAAGGCCGGGGGCAUAUGUUGCACUAUCCAAUACUUUGGCUGAUGCUGGGAAAUGGGAUAGUGUUAGUGAGCUUAGAGAAAUAAUGAAAGAGAGGGGAAUAUCAAAAAACACUGCUUGCAGUUGGGUUGGAGCUGACAGUGUUUAUUAAUCCACACAUGCAGGUGCAAAGUUGCACAAGAAGGAAUAUAUCUUACUUUUGUGAUGCUCGUUUCAAAUUUGUCACGAUGAAAUUAAAAAGCAAAACCGAAAAGUGUGCCGUGGAAAAGAAGAGGAAAAGGAAGCUGGAAAAAAUUGUUGUCAUUGAGACAGAUAAUACAUUGAAUGCUGAAGUGGAUAAUGGAAUGCAAGUUGGAAAGGAGAAAAAGGAGAAAUCUUCUAUCAAUA